Long non-coding RNA from Anneissia japonica, 770 nucleotides. RefSeq lists it as uncharacterized. The record is from RefSeq and is a predicted model, not a curated record. The transcript has 3 exons. NCBI's taxonomy places the organism in Eukaryota, Metazoa, Echinodermata, Crinoidea, Comatulida, Comatulidae.
UACUUAGCCUAUAGCCUAGGUAGUGAGAUUAGAGGCUAACCUAAAAAUAUAGGCAGACCUAUGUUAUCAUCAUUAAUAUUAGAUGCCAUUAUGCAUGCUAUGUCAGAACUAUUGAUAUUUUAUAAUUAGGUCAAUUCGUAUUGUUUUUAUUUUUAUUUUAUUUUUUUUUUUUUUCAAUAUUCUAGUAUGUUGAAAACAUAUUAGAAGAUAGUAGGCAGAAAAGUGAGGAAGGUGAAAGCACACUGCCAGUACCAACAAUUGAAAAUGCAUCAUCUCAUUUAGCCUCGUUUGUUAAAGAAUAUCAGCAGAGCAGAAACUUGCAGGAUAAUUCAAAAACAUCCACUACAAAGUGCAGAAAAAAAGGGACAAAGUCUAAACGCUCAAUGCGUGUGCAAGUUGGCUCAAAAAUGUGUACCAAAGAAACUCAAACUGACCCCCAAAUCACUGGAGUUGAUUUGCCUUUAACAGAGGUACCACCAAGUGGUAACUCAAUUUUUGAAGAACCAAUCACUGCAAUACCAGUAGGCACAUCAACUCCCAAUCAAAGCGAAGACGAGUCUUCACCUUGUGAGAGUGAUCAUCAUGUUAGCAUCUUUGAUAGAACUUUCAAUCCAGACAACACAUAUCUUUCAUCAUCAUUAAUGUAAGUUAACAAGGAAUUACAAAUAGUAGUUCUAGGAAUUAUUGUCAUGUAUUUACUGUAUAUUAUUACAACAAUGUACAGUAUACAUAGCAUUAAACUACAGCCUGCAGUAUAUUUUAAAAAGAAU